RNAcentral lists this ribosomal RNA (699 nucleotides) under uncultured Rheinheimera sp. RNAcentral's name for it is "bacterial SSU rRNA". It matches the Rfam family "Bacterial small subunit ribosomal RNA", at positions 834 to 1532 of the family's 1533-position model. Lineage: Bacteria; Pseudomonadati; Pseudomonadota; Gammaproteobacteria; Chromatiales; Chromatiaceae. The record is from RNAcentral.
GUGUCGUGAGUAGCGCAGCUAACGCACUAAGUAGACCGCCUGGGGAGUACGGUCGCAAGAUUAAAACUCAAAUGAAUUGACGGGGGCCCGCGCAAGCGGUGGAGCAUGUGGUUUAAUUCGACGCAACGCGAAGAACCUUACCUACUCUUGACAUCCAGAGAAGACUGCAGAGAUGCGGUUGUGCCUUCGGGAACUCUGAGACAGGUGCUGCAUGGCUGUCGUCAGCUCGUGUUGUGAAAUGUUGGGUUAAGUCCCGCAACGAGCGCAACCCUUAUCCUUAGUUGCCAGCGCGUAAUGGCGGGAACUCUAGGGAGACUGCCGGUGAUAAACCGGAGGAAGGUGGGGACGACGUCAAGUUAUCAUGGCCCUUACGAGUAGGGCUACACACGUGCUACAAUGGUAUGUACAGAGGGAGGCAAGCUGGCGACAGUGAGCGGAUCUCUUAAAGCAUAUCGUAGUCCGGAUCGCAGUCUGCAACUCGACUGCGUGAAGUCGGAAUCGCUAGUAAUCGCAAAUCAGAAUGUUGCGGUGAAUACGUUCCCGGGCCUUGUACACACUGCCCGUCACACCAUGGGAGUGGGUUGCAAAAGAAGUAGGUAGCUUAACCUUCGGGAGGGCGCUUACCACUUUGUGAUUCAUGACUGGGGUGAAGUCGUAACAAGGUAACCGUAGGGGAACCUGCGGCUGGAUCACCUCCUU